AAGGCAUUAAAUAAAUACCCGAAUUUUUAUUAUUUUUCUAUGGUGUAAAAAUUUUAAUGCAUAAAGGAAAAUAAAACAAACCUAACAAAAUUGGUUUCACUAAUUUUGGACACUCCUAGAAAUUUCUGUGAUUUAAAUGGUGUAAAACGGAUUUAAACUAAUUUCUUUCUAAAGGAAAUCUAAUUUUUCCGAAAAACGCCCCGGAAAACUUUUCU
Molecule: long non-coding RNA, 215 nt
Filed under: Setaria viridis
Lineage: Eukaryota; Viridiplantae; Streptophyta; Magnoliopsida; Poales; Poaceae
Description: long non-coding RNA (SVIR_LNC002065)
Source: RNAcentral